Molecule: ribosomal RNA, 496 nt
Filed under: uncultured bacterium
Lineage: Bacteria
Description: partial 16S ribosomal RNA
Rfam family: Bacterial small subunit ribosomal RNA
Source: RNAcentral
AUGAACGCUGGCGGCGUGCCUAAUACAUGCAAGUCGAGCGAACAGACGAGGAGCUUGCUCCUCUGACGUUAGCGGCGGACGGGUGAGUAACACGUGGAUAACCUACCUAUAAGACUGGGAUAACUUCGGGAAACCGGAGCUAAUACCGGAUAAUAUAUUGAACCGCAUGGUUCAAUAGUGAAAGACGGUUUUGCUGUCACUUAUAGAUGGAUCCGCGCCGCAUUAGCUAGUUGGUAAGGUAACGGCUUACCAAGGCAACGAUGCGUAGCCGACCUGAGAGGGUGAUCGGCCACACUGGAACUGAGACACGGUCCAGACUCCUACGGGAGGCAGCAGUAGGGAAUCUUCCGCAAUGGGCGAAAGCUUGACGGAGCAACGCCGCGUGAGUGAUGAAGGUCUUCGGAUCGUAAAACUCUGUUAUUAGGGAAGAACAAAUGUGUAGGUAACUAUGCACGUCUUGACGGUACCUAAUCAGAAAGCCACGGCUAACUACGUG